This 22-nucleotide transfer RNA is filed under the name Mareca penelope (Eurasian wigeon). RNAcentral's name for it is "partial tRNA-Phe". RNAcentral also lists the same sequence under 9 other names. Lineage: Eukaryota; Metazoa; Chordata; Aves; Anseriformes; Anatidae. The record is from RNAcentral.
GUCCACAUAGCUUACCACCAAA